Molecule: ribosomal RNA, 448 nt
Filed under: uncultured bacterium
Lineage: Bacteria
Description: bacterial SSU rRNA
Rfam family: Bacterial small subunit ribosomal RNA
Source: RNAcentral
UGGGGAAUAUUGGACAAUGGGCGCAAGCCUGAUCCAGCCAUGCCGCGUGAGUGACGAAGGUCUUCGGAUUGUAAAGCUCUUUUUGCCAGGGACGAUAAUGACGGUACCUGGAGAAUAAGCCCCGGCUAACUUCGUGCCAGCAGCCGCGGUAAUACGAAGGGGGCUAGCGUUGUUCGGAAUUACUGGGCGUAAAGCGCACGUAGGCGGAUUUGUUAGUCAGGGGUGAAAUCCCGGGGCUCAACCUCGGAACUGCCUUUGAUACUGCAAGUCUCGAGUCCGAUAGAGGUGAGUGGAAUUCCUAGUGUAGAGGUGAAAUUCGUAGAUAUUAGGAAGAACACCAGUGGCGAAGGCGGCUCACUGGAUCGGUACUGACGCUGAGGUGCGAAAGCGUGGGGAGCAAACAGGAUUAGAUACCCCCGUAGUCCCUGAGCGGGCUGGCAAGGCGCAU